This 406-nucleotide long non-coding RNA is filed under the name Homo sapiens (human). RNAcentral's name for it is "non-protein coding lnc-FKBP6-5:1". The record is from RNAcentral. Lineage: Eukaryota; Metazoa; Chordata; Mammalia; Primates; Hominidae.
GAAGUCGCCCUGCAAGGCGUGUGUGUGAUCGCGCACCUGCCGGGGUCCUGCAUGGCAUCACCAGUAUCCCUAUAAGAGAGAGGCAGAGGAAGGACAAGCGCAGUGACUCACACCUGUAAUCCCAGCACUUUGGGAGGCCGAGGCUGGCAGAUCCCUUGAGCCCAGGAGUUCGCAACCAGCCUGGCCAACAUGGUGAAACCCCAUCUCUACUAAAAAUACAAAAAUUUGCCAGGUGUGGUGGUGCAUGCCUGUAAUCCCUGCUACUCAGGAGGCUGAGGCAAAAGAAUUGCUUGAACCUGGGAGGCGGAGGUUGCAGUGAGCUGGGAUCAUACCACUGCACUCCAGCCUGGGCAACAGAGCAAGACUCUGUCUCAAAAAAAAAAAAAAAAAAAAAAAAAAAAAAAAA